Molecule: ribosomal RNA, 251 nt
Filed under: uncultured prokaryote
Description: partial 16S rRNA
Rfam family: Bacterial small subunit ribosomal RNA
Source: RNAcentral
ACGUAGGAUGCGAGCGUUGUCCGGAUUUAUUGGGCGUAAAGAGUUAGUAGGUGGUCUGUUAAGUCUGAUGUUAAAGAUUGGGGCUCAACCCUGAAACUGCAUUGGAUACUGGCAGACUUGAGUGUGGUAGAGGCUAGUGGAAUUCCCAGUGUAGCAGUGAAAUGCGUAGAUAUUGGGAAAAACACCAGUGGCGUAGGCGGCUAGCUGGGCCAUAACUGACACUGAGGAACGAAAGCCAGGGUAGCGAGUGG